RNAcentral lists this ribosomal RNA (423 nucleotides) under Triticum aestivum (bread wheat). RNAcentral describes it as "partial small subunit ribosomal RNA". The record is from RNAcentral. Lineage: Eukaryota; Viridiplantae; Streptophyta; Magnoliopsida; Poales; Poaceae.
GUCCUCAUAGUAUCAGACAGACGGUCAACCAAAGGUGAAGCGUGGAUGUUGGAUUCGGCUUGCUCUUUUCAUGCGACACCCAACAGGGAGUGGUUCUCUUCGUACAAGUCUGGUGAGUUUGGUUUAGCCUAUGUGAGCGAUGACACAGGUUAUCGUGUUGCUGGAGUAGGUGACAUCAAAAUCAAGAUGUUUGACGGAGUUGAGCGGAUGCUUCGAGGAGUCAGGCAUGUGCCGGGCCUAAAGAGAAAUCUAAUUUCACUUGGUGUUCUUCAUGAUGGUGGUAUGGUAUUCUGUUGUGAUCGGGAUAGGAAGAACAUGAGAAUCAUAGAAGAUAAGGUGACUGUGAUGAUUGGAACGAGGACGGCUUCGCAUCUUUACAAGCUGCAAGGGAGCACUAUUGCAGGUGGAGUCACGAAGACUGGA